This 1169-nucleotide ribosomal RNA is filed under the name Salmonella enterica. RNAcentral describes it as "partial 23S ribosomal RNA". It matches the Rfam family "Bacterial large subunit ribosomal RNA", at positions 1762 to 2925 of the family's 2925-position model. Lineage: Bacteria; Pseudomonadati; Pseudomonadota; Gammaproteobacteria; Enterobacterales; Enterobacteriaceae. The record is from RNAcentral.
CGGAGCUGAAGUCAGUCGAAGAUACCAGCUGGCUGCAACUGUUUAUUAAAAACACAGCACUGUGCAAACACGAAAGUGGACGUAUACGGUGUGACGCCUGCCCGGUGCCGGAAGGUUAAUUGAUGGGGUCAGCGCAAGCGAAGCUCCUGAUCGAAGCCCCGGUAAACGGCGGCCGUAACUAUAACGGUCCUAAGGUAGCGAAAUUCCUUGUCGGGUAAGUUCCGACCUGCACGAAUGGCGUAAUGAUGGCCAGGCUGUCUCCACCCGAGACUCAGUGAAAUUGAACUCGCUGUGAAGAUGCAGUGUACCCGCGGCAAGACGGAAAGACCCCGUGAACCUUUACUAUAGCUUGACACUGAACAUUGAGCCUUGAUGUGUAGGAUAGGUGGGAGGCUUUGAAGCGUGGACGCCAGUCUGCGUGGAGCCGACCUUGAAAUACCACCCUUUAAUGUUUGAUGUUCUAACGUGGACCCGUGAUCCGGGUUGCGGACAGUGUCUGGUGGGUAGUUUGACUGGGGCGGUCUCCUCCUAAAGAGUAACGGAGGAGCACGAAGGUUGGCUAAUCCUGGUCGGACAUCAGGAGGUUAGUGCAAUGGCAUAAGCCAGCUUGACUGCGAGCGUGACGGCGCGAGCAGGUGCGAAAGCAGGUCAUAGUGAUCCGGUGGUUCUGAAUGGAAGGGCCAUCGCUCAACGGAUAAAAGGUACUCCGGGGAUAACAGGCUGAUACCGCCCAAGAGUUCAUAUCGACGGCGGUGUUUGGCACCUCGAUGUCGGCUCAUCACAUCCUGGGGCUGAAGUAGGUCCCAAGGGUAUGGCUGUUCGCCAUUUAAAGUGGUACGCGAGCUGGGUUUAGAACGUCGUGAGACAGUUCGGUCCCUAUCUGCCGUGGGCGCUGGAGAACUGAGGGGGGCUGCUCCUAGUACGAGAGGACCGGAGUGGACGCAUCACUGGUGUUCGGGUUGUCAUGCCAAUGGCACUGCCCGGUAGCUAAAUGCGGAAGAGAUAAGUGCUGAAAGCAUCUAAGCACGAAACUUGCCCCGAGAUGAGUUCUCCCUGAGACUUUAGGUCUCCUGAAGGAACGUUGAAGACGACGACGUUGAUAGGCCGGGUGUGUAAGCGCAGCGAUGCGUUGAGCUAACCGGUACUAAUGAACCGUGAGGCUUAACCUU